RNAcentral lists this long non-coding RNA (4580 nucleotides) under Capsella grandiflora. RNAcentral describes it as "long non-coding RNA (CGRA_LNC001085)". Lineage: Eukaryota; Viridiplantae; Streptophyta; Magnoliopsida; Brassicales; Brassicaceae. The record is from RNAcentral.
UUUUGUCUCUUUGGCUCAGGCUCCUCCGGAAGAGGUGGUGGUGCCUCCGAGGGUGGUGGGGGAGGAGGCAUCCCAGGCAUAGAUGGUGGUUGCAUCAUCCCCAUUGGAGGUGGUGGAUGCUGACCAUAAGGUCUAGGAACUUGCAUAUGAGGAAACUGAGAUCCUGGUGGAGGCGGCACAGGCAUACCAGACUGCAUUUGUGGUGGUCGGUUCAUCAUCAUUGAAGGGUGUCCAGGUGGCCCAGGCAUUGAGAGCUGGUGUUGCUGAUGCAUUGGCUGCAUCAUUGGAACACCAAGUGGCCUCAGUACACCAGGGUACUGAACAGUAGGAGGAGGACGAGGGAGGUUCAAGGCGAGAUUAGCAGGUGGUGGCAGUGGCCGGACUGUUGGGACACCUGGUCGAGGAGGAGGAAGAGCAGCUGGACCAGGGAAGCUAUUGGGAUCUCCAUAAACACCAUCACCUUGCUCCUCUCCAUUAGCGUUCUGAGUCAAGGCUUGGUUUGCUGUGCGACCGAUACUUCCUGUGUGACCAUCCCAUAUUACUUGCUUUGGCUGCUCAUCUUUCUUCUUCUCAAUCUCUGCUUUUACAGCAUUUGAGACUUCUUCUUCGGUUGUUCCAAAGAUAUCAGGACGCAGGCGGGCCAACCCAACAAUGUUUUUAGCAAUUUCAUCAUCCUGUGCAAGUGUGGUCUCACGAAUCUUAGCAAACAUCCGAUCCUUCUGCUCUUUGAACUUAGGAUCAAUAAGGGAAAUUCGCAUGUGCUCAGACAUCUCGUUAAUGGGAAUCAAUUCGCCAGUAAUUGGUGAUAUAACAACUUUAGUUGGAUCUCUUUCCGUCGGGAUUCUGUCUUCUGGCCUCUUCCAGUUCUUAACAAUUCGCAUAGGUGCUUCUUCAUCAUGUAUAUUUUCAAUCUUAACAUUCUCUUCUAGGUUUGCUGCUCUCAUUCCUUCUGCAACAAGCUUAACUUCUUCUUCGUCCAUUUCCAUUUCAACCUCCUUUCCAGGCUCAACAAUUUCAUCUUCUUCCAUCGCAGAUACUUUGCUCCUCCUUAUCACCUCGUCAAGUGUCAUAGGCGGUGGCAACUCUUCAUCUUCCUCAUCCGCAAAAUCUAUAGACUCAACAACCGCAAAAUCAUGCCAAUCAAUCAUAGCCAUCUGCACCCGCUCCUGCUCUUUCUCAUCCUCUUCUUUCUUCUUCUGCUGCUCCUGGGAACGAUCCCAUUCAAGACGAUGCAAACAACGCUCAAGAACGGUAGUCAAAUCAGCAGCACUCUUUCUCAACUUUUCUUUCAAAUCUUUGGGAGGCAUUAAUACUUCGGAAUACGCAUCAACCAGAGAAGUAAAAAAAGUGAACAUGCUAUGUGUUGGCUUAAUAAACUGAAACUGAAGAUUGUUGUUCUCUCUAGUCGUCAACCCCGUUAAAAACGACUUCCCAUUCCGUGCCACGAACUGGGCAGUGAGCUUAAUAAUAUCAAGCUCCUCACCUGUGAUCCCUUCAGGAAGUCUAACUGUAUACUUCUCAGGCUCUGGAGGUUCUAGAGGCUUAGGAGGAAUCCUAAACUGAGCCUGAAGGUCAGGUUGUGCAUCACCUGCUUCAGACUCAUCGGCAGCAGCAGCUGCAGCAUCAAGUUGGGGAUGAUCUGUACCAUCUGAAUCAUCAGUACCCUGAGCUCCGUCUUUAUUCUGAGCACGGUAUUCAGUGAGCUUAUGCUGGUAAAAGGCAUGAUAAGGAUCUACGCUCUUCAAAAAGUUGAAUUUAGCAUUCUUUUCGUUACUGGCUAUAAUCCUCUUUUCAAACUCCAACCCGUUUUUCGAAACAAACUGAGCCGUUUUCUCGACAAUAGUUCUGAUAUCAGGAGGUGGAUGAAUGAUACCGAUAGUCCUAGUGUGAGUGGCAACAGCCGCAGGAGCAUGAUUUGAGUUGUUUCGCUCUGCUUGCAACUCCCUCUCUUCGACUUCCUGAUCUGUUAGCUGCGAAGGAGGCAGUGGACCUAAGUUCCCAUCGGUAGGAGGAGCCUCCAGUGGCAAUAUCUCCAUCGAACUCAACAUUAUUCUGCAACCAAAAUAUAUCAAAGUUUAGGAUUAACUCAUCUCGACCUAAUUCAUUUGUUCUAGAAACUACCAAUUCUACUGAAAUGGAUUGAUAAAGAGUAACUAAAAAUAGCAAAAACUAUUGAGUACUUCAAUUGAGAGAAGGUAUAAAUCCUAGAAACUAAGAUGCGAGAGAAAGAGAAUGAUAGGAGGAAAAGAAGAAGUAAUCGGCGACGGGGAGAAGCACAGCUAAGGGUUUGGAGAGAUGUAAGAAAGACCGUACCUCAGCCGGUAAGGAACAGCCUCGCCGCGAGAACCACCGUGACGUCGGGAAGAAGCGGAGCGCGAACCAGCACGAGAUGUGAAAUUUACAAAGACGAUUUGAUGAAGAUCGAUAGAAAAUUACAGAAGCCAAACCAGAAAAUGAAAAUGAGCCCUAGGAUUUAUGAACGAAACUCUUAUUCUGUUGGCUUAUGGGCCUUUAACGGGCUCGAACUUCGGUAGAAAGCUUUGGAUCCGACGCGAUUUGAAAUUAGAUGAACAUUGAGUGUGAAUUGAAUGAAAUACGUAGUUUAAUCCAACCUUUCUUCUGUUUUUUUUGGCUAAUCAUGUUUUUCAUUUUUACUCUACACAGUUAGUGCUUUUGAAUAGCAACAUCAGAAUCAGUGUACUAAACAUUUUCGACUGUUUGUUGAUCCAAAGUUUCAAACGCAAACUCAUUUGUUUUCCUAAAGAUCGAUCCACUUUGUCUCAGAAAUAAAUUAAAGAAUAUAGAUGAUUUGUUGUUUUACAAUUAUAACCAUCUCAAUUUUCAUUAUAAGGUACUUGCUUUUAAUGUCAGCGUCUAUUGAUUUUUCUUGUUCAAAGUGGUUUGCUAAACAGAGAACUUUAAACAAUUUUUCUUUUUAUAACCAGACAACCAAAUCUACAAAGUUUAUGCAUACGAAUCAAUGGAUGAUGGUGUUUAGGUUUUAUGACUAAUGAGCAAGGAAUUCAGAAAGCAUAAGCACCGUUCCUCGAGUCUCUUCUAAUUCAGCUCCAAUAUAUUGGGAGGCAUUAAUAGUUCCAUAUAAGUUAAUACAUCAACAAAAUCGUGAAAAAAAACUGAAUACUCUUACGACGUGAUCAAUCCCUUGACGAAACGAUCUCCCAUUCUGACUGUACUGUGACCUUGAUAAUAUCAAGCUACUUGCUCGUGAUCCCUUCAACAAGUCUAAUUGUAUACUAACCCUAUCAAAAACUUGAUCUGAGCAUCUUACAAAAUUAAAAUUUGCAUUAUGGAUACUACUAUCUAUAAUCCGUUUCUCAUAUUCUGCUCUGAACUCGUGUUUGUAAACAGAACUUAGACGACACAAGAGUUAUGGUCUCUGGAGGUGGCAGCAUCAGAGUCGAACAGAACUUUUUUCUAUAACCAGAAGAGAAAACCCAUUUUUAAAUCCUACAAGGUUCGCAAUGUUUCACCUUUCACCUAACAUCAUAGCUAUUCUAAUUAUGUGCAUACCUGCGACAAUGAUCAACAUGUGGGAACAAGCAAAGCGACAUCCUCAUAUGGUACCUACAAAGAAGAGGAAGAAGAUUUCAUUUAAAAGCUUAACAAAGUGAACAACGCACAAAGCAGAGUAUCAAAUAUGUUAUUUUUAAGUUUACAGAGCAAAACGUUGCCCCAGAACUAGCUGCAAAUCCAAAACAAACUUAAGUCAGUAAUAGCAGAGAGAUGUGACGAGUAGGGCAAUGAGGCCUGCACUAGAGACUAGAGAGCAGUACAAAUACUUUUCGCCACCAACAAAAAACAUCUAAUAAAGAACAAGAAUUAAGAGGUUAAAAAGCAUUUCCCUGUAUCAACCAAACGGUCUCUAUCUCUUUCUCCCACCACGUUCUCGCAAAGACAGUGUUAGGAUUUCUCCUGCUUCCACAUUGUAAUGCGCAAGUGACAUGUUGUCCUUUAAGAAUCCAGAUUUCCCACUUAACUUCUGUUUGUUUGCAGGAGUUUGUGUCUCCCCUGCUAUUUUCUCCUUCAAACUUCCCACAUUUUCGGACAACGACUGCACUGUGAUCUCAAUGACUUUCCUAUCAUCCCCGUUUAGCACAGAAACCUUGAUUCUAUACGACAAAUACUUUUGGGCUUCCAUGAUCAGUACGCGUGGCCCCGUUCAAAUCGUGACCAUCCAAUCUACCCUGAAAAUGUAUAAAACAGGUAAGACAAUUCAGGGGAAAGAAAAAUGGAUAAGAAAAUGAUUUAAGAGUCUGAAAAACACAUUACCGGAUGUUGAGCAAGAAACUGGUCUUCAGGAACAAGGGAUGACUCCUCAAACUUUUGUCUCUUUGGCUCAGGCUCCUCAGUAAGAGAUGCAGGAGACAUCCCAGGCAUAGGUAGUUGUUGCAUCAUCCCCAUUGAAGGCAGUGGAAGCUGAUCAUAAGGUCUAGGAACUAGCAUAUGAGCAAACUGAGAUCCUGGUCGAGGGGGAACAUGCAUACCAGGCUGUAUUUGUGUUGGUCGGUUCAUCAUCAUCAAAGGGUGUCCAGGUGGCCCGACCAUCGAGAGCUGGUGUU